RNAcentral lists this ribosomal RNA (201 nucleotides) under uncultured bacterium. Its description in RNAcentral is "partial 16S ribosomal RNA". It matches the Rfam family "Bacterial small subunit ribosomal RNA", at positions 1294 to 1500 of the family's 1533-position model. The record is from RNAcentral.
CGGAUUGGAGUCUGCAACUCGACUCCAUGAAGCUGGAUUCGCUAGUAAUCGCGCAUCAGCCAUGGCGCGGUGAAUACGUUCCCGGGCCUUGUACACACCGCCCGUCAAGCCAUGGGAGUCGGGAGUGCCUGAAGUUCGUGACCGUCACAGGAGCGACCUAAGGCAAGACCGAUGACUGGGGCUAAGUCGUAACAAGGUACC